AGCUGGUUCUCCCCGAAAGCUAUUUAGGUAGCGCCUCGUGAAUUCAUCUCCGGGGGUAGAGCACUGUUUCGGCAAGGGGGUCAUCCCGACUUACCAACCCGAUGCAAACUGCGAAUACCGGAGAAUGUUAUCACGGGAGACACACGGCGGGUGCUAACGUCCGUCGUGAAGAGGGAAACAACCCAGACCGCCAGCUAAGGUCCCAAAGUCAUGGUUAAGUGGGAAACGAUGUGGGAAGGCCCAGACAGCCAGGAUGUUGGCUUAGAAGCAGCCAUCAUUUAAAGAAAGCGUAAUAGCUCACUGGUCGAGUCGGCCUGCGCGGAAGAUGUAACGGGGCUAAACCAUGCACCGAAGCUGCGGCAGCGACGCUGAUGCGUUGUUGGGUAGGGGAGCGUUCUGUAAGCCUGUGAAGGUGUACUGUGAGGUAUGCUGGAGGUAUCAGAAGUGCGAAUGCUGACAUAAGUAACGAUAAAGCGGGUGAAAAGCCCGCUCGCCGGAAGACCAAGGGUUCCUGUCCAACGUUAAUCGGGGCAGGGUGAGUCGACCCCUAAGGCGAGGCCGAAAGGCGUAGUCGAUGGGAAACAGGUUAAUAUUCCUGUACUUGGUGUUACUGCGAAGGGGGGACGGAGAAGGCUAUGUUGGCCGGGCGACGGUUGUCCCGGUUUAAGCGUGUAGGCUGGUUUUCCAGGCAAAUCCGGAAAACUAAGGCUGAGGCGUGAUGACGAGGCACUACGGUGCUGAAGCAACAAAUGCCCUGCUUCCAGGAAAAGCCUCUAAGCAUCAGGUAACAUCAAAUCGUACCCCAAACCGACCCAGGUGGUCAGGUAGAGAAUACCAAGGCGCUUGAGAGAACUCGGGAGAAGGAACUAGGCAAUAUGUAUUCGUAAC
Molecule: ribosomal RNA, 888 nt
Filed under: Escherichia coli
Lineage: Bacteria; Pseudomonadati; Pseudomonadota; Gammaproteobacteria; Enterobacterales; Enterobacteriaceae
Description: bacterial LSU rRNA
Rfam family: Bacterial large subunit ribosomal RNA
Source: RNAcentral